AUGGAGGACGCGCGCACGAGCUCCCUUGCAGUUGUCUGUGGUGUCGUCGUCGGGCUUGGUUCGUGGCCGACGCCAGCCGGAGCUCGCAGUCGAGCGCGUGUGCGGGUACGGGAACUCGGCUCCAACCAAAUCAACGGCGACGGCCAUGGGCGGGAGCUCGGCUCCGGCCAAAUCGACGACCACGACCAUGGGCGGGAGCUCGGCUCCGGCCAAAUCGACGACCACGACCAAGGGCGGGAGCUCGGCUCCGACCAAAUCGAUGACCACGGCCACGGGCGGGAGCUCGGCUCCGACCGAAUCGACGGCUACGGCCAUGGGCGGGAGCUUGGAUCCUACCAAAUCAAUGGCUACGGCCUAGGACGCCGCCGCCCCGCACCCUGUGCUGCGACUGGCCCUCUUCCCACCCCGAGACGCGGCGCCGUCGCCGUCCCUUGCGCCACCGGCAGUGUUGUUUCUCCUCCGGUCGCCGCUGCACAACAGGUGAGCCACAGACCACGCCCUCCUCCGGCUAACGUCCGUCCCCUUGCCCCCAUUUGCAAAUGCCACGUGGCCCCGGCAGGUGGGCCUAACCGGUCAGUUUUGCUGUUAGAGGCAGCUCAAUUUCGAAUCAGGACAAUGUGUUAUUCACUUGCCGCGGAAAUGGUGGUUUUUUGA
Molecule: ribosomal RNA, 654 nt
Filed under: Triticum aestivum (bread wheat)
Lineage: Eukaryota; Viridiplantae; Streptophyta; Magnoliopsida; Poales; Poaceae
Description: partial small subunit ribosomal RNA
Source: RNAcentral